Long non-coding RNA from Passer domesticus (house sparrow), 519 nucleotides. RefSeq lists it as uncharacterized. Lineage: Eukaryota; Metazoa; Chordata; Aves; Passeriformes; Passeridae. The record is from RefSeq and is a predicted model, not a curated record. The transcript is spliced from 3 exons.
UGCUACGCUUCCCAAGGUGGGGAUGUUCUGAGAGGAGAGAAAGCAGGGAUGGAAGUCAUUAGCAGCUUUAUGUUUUGCAUAGAAGAUGACAUUUGUAUGUCGCUGGGAUUGCAUCAGCUGGCAUACUCUGUUCAGAGAAUAACAGUAGACAGAAAUUGAAAGUGAACUUUCGUUUGGUCGCCAAAUAUCUGUCUGACUUUUCUAUUUCUACAAGACAUCCAAUGAUAUUUAUGGAAAAAUACGAGGUAAUUUUCUCCUCUGCUUCUGUUCUUAGUAGUUCCUGACAUGCCACUAUCUUAGUACCACCUGCUCUGCUCUCAAAAAUGAUUAAAAUACCAGAGACUACCUACCUUCCCAGCCUCUAGUCAUAGAUGUAUCUGAUUUGGCCUCUAUAACUAUCAGAAAUUCACAGGAUGUCCUUAGCAAAUCGUUUUGCAUUACCCUAAAAAUCACAUCUGGAAACUGAUGAUCUGAUGACAGUUUCUUAAUUAUGCCUAAUUGAUGUUAGCACCCUCCAAC